CACUUCUUCGCAGCAGGUUUCCGAUAUUAUUUGAGCUUAUUCGGUGACUUGGGAGGUUGGUUCAGAAGGUGUUCUAACUUGAGCGAGAGUGCGAACGAACCUUGGAUCGUCGUUAGCUGACUUGUGGGAACUCUUGGAGACAUAUCUUGAGCAGGAUUGGAGACUUGUGGAGUUGAUCCUUGGGACUAUUUGGAGCCUAG
This is a long non-coding RNA of Ananas comosus (pineapple), 200 nucleotides long. RefSeq lists it as uncharacterized. The record is from RefSeq and is a predicted model, not a curated record. Lineage: Eukaryota; Viridiplantae; Streptophyta; Magnoliopsida; Poales; Bromeliaceae. The transcript is spliced from 3 exons.